GUGGGGAAUCUUCCGCAAUGGACGAAAGUCUGACGGAGCGACGCCGCGUGAGUGAAGAAGGCCUUCGGGUCGUAAAGCUCUGUCAUCAGGGACGAACGGCCGGUGGAGUGGAAAGCCACCGGAUUGACGGUACCUGAGAAGGAAGCCACGGCUAACUACGUGCCAGCAGCCGCGGUAAUACGUAGGUGGCAAGCGUUUUCCGGAAUUAUUGGGCGUAAAGCGCGCGCAGGUGGGAUCUUAAGUCCAUUUUGAAAGUUCGGAGCUCAACUCCGUGAUGGGAUGGAAACUGGGAUUCUUGAGUACCGGAGAGGAAAGCGGAAUUCCCCGUGUAGCGGUGAAAUGCGUAGAUAUGGGGAGGAACACCAGUGGCGAAGGCGGCUUUCUGGACGGUGUCUGACACUGAGGCGCGAAAGCUAGGGGAGCGAACGGGAUUAGAAACCCGAGUAGUCC
Molecule: ribosomal RNA, 450 nt
Filed under: uncultured bacterium
Lineage: Bacteria
Description: partial 16S ribosomal RNA
Rfam family: Bacterial small subunit ribosomal RNA
Source: RNAcentral